Molecule: non-coding RNA, 560 nt
Organism: Camellia sinensis
Lineage: Eukaryota; Viridiplantae; Streptophyta; Magnoliopsida; Ericales; Theaceae
Source: RefSeq, a predicted model, not a curated record
UCUCUCUCUCUCUUUGUGCUCCUUGAGAGAUUCAUCAGAGGAAGAUGGACAGAUUGAGUUGCACGAAUGCGAGGUUACGAGACCGAGGAGUGAAAAAGGAUCGAGAUCAUGGAUCGGGAUCGAGACAAGGAUCGGGACUGAGACUGGUCGAAUCGAAGCAAGAGGAGAAGACGAGAUCAUGAAUACUGGGUUUCUAGUAAUUGAGUUGUUAUGGUAGCGAAGGGAUUCUAAUUUAUGGAUCAAAGGGCAAAGCUCCUCCUAAGAUGCGGACAUUCUUUUUGUUACAACUGCGGAUCUCCUCUAAUAGCCCACUACUGUAGUAAAUGUAAGCAUCAAGUCCUCAUAGAUGCCAGCCUUUAUGUAUUCAUGAAACUUCUGUUUUCAAUCUGCUACAGGACAUAGUGAUGGAAGCAGCCAUCUUAACGAAUGUAUAUGGCAGUGUCGUGGCCAUAGGACUCAAUGUUCACACAAGGCUGGCAUUUUGUCUGGAGAUGUUAUCUGAAAAUUGAUGACACAAGUACAGAAACCAUGGACAUAUAUGAUGCAGCAGAGUGCUUGCA